This 775-nucleotide ribosomal RNA is filed under the name uncultured Neocallimastigales. RNAcentral's name for it is "partial large subunit ribosomal RNA". It matches the Rfam family "Eukaryotic large subunit ribosomal RNA", at positions 19 to 649 of the family's 3401-position model. The record is from RNAcentral. Lineage: Eukaryota; Fungi; Neocallimastigomycota; Neocallimastigomycetes; Neocallimastigales.
CGAGCACGCGCGUGUGGCAUAUCAAUAAGCGGAGGAAAAGAAACUAACAAGGAUUCCCUUAGUAACGGCGAGUGAAGCGGGAAGAGCUCAAAUUUGAAAUCUUCAAGGUUCUACCUUGACGAAUUGUAGUUUAUAGAAGUGUUUUCUGUUAGUGGAGUGGCAAAAGUUCUUGGAAUAGGACAUCAUAGAGGGUGAGAGUCCCGUAUUUGGUCAUUCCUCCUAGCGUUGUGAUACACUUUCAACGAGUCGGAUUGUUUGGGAAUGCAGUCCAAAAUGGGUGGUAAAUUUCAUCUAAAGCUAAAUAUUGGCGAGAGACCGAUAGCGAACAAGUACCGUGAGGGAAAGAUGAAUAGAACUUUGAAAAGAGAGUUAAACAGUACGUGAAAUUGUCAAAAGGGAAGCGUUUGACACCAGUGUUGUUUUUCCGAAAAUCAAUUACGAAUGUUUUGUUUUUGAGGAGUUAUGACUUCAUCGGCUUGCUCCUUUCUUUACGAAACUUUCUUAAUGCACUUUUCGGUUAACAAGUCAACAUCAAUCUCUUUUGUUGUAAAAGGGUAUGAGGAAGGUGGCUUUCUUUUCGGAGAAAGUGUUUAUAGCCUUGUGCCUCUAGCAAUCGGAGAGAUUGAGGUCUGCAGCGUAGAUCCUUCGGGGUUAGAUACGUUUGUGCUAAGUUAUAGCUUUUCAUAGACAACUUGUUGACUAUGUUUAGUCUUGUAGCUUACUCGCUUACUGCUAUUUUACCUACGCUUAGGAUGUUGAGUAGCGACAUACGCAC